RNAcentral lists this ribosomal RNA (132 nucleotides) under Triticum aestivum (bread wheat). RNAcentral's name for it is "partial small subunit ribosomal RNA". Lineage: Eukaryota; Viridiplantae; Streptophyta; Magnoliopsida; Poales; Poaceae. The record is from RNAcentral.
CAAGCACUUGGUUCGCCCCUUACUAGAACCAUCCCACUCAAUCUUUUACACCGAUGUUUCAUACUCUGUCGACCAGGUCAUCAUAAGAAAAUACUGCCAAAUCGAGAAGGAGGGAAGGUGCGCUACAACUAA